GACGAACGCUGGCGGCGUGCUUAACACAUGCAAGUCGAACGGAAAGGCCCUGCUUUUGUGGGGUGCUCGAGUGGCGAACGGGUGAGUAACACGUGAGUAACCUGCCCUUGACCUUGGGAUAACUUCAGGAAACUGGGGCUAAUACCGGAUAGGAGCUCCUGCUGCAUGGUGGGGGUUGGAAAGUUUCGGCGGUUGGGGAUGGACUCGCGGCUUAUCAGCUUGUUGGUGGGGUAGUGGCUUACCAAGGCUUUGACGGGUAGCCGGCCUGAGAGGGUGACCGGCCACAUUGGGACUGAGAUACGGCCCAGAAUCCUACGGGAGGCAGCAGUGGGGAAUAUUGCACAAUGGGCGGAAGCCUGAUGCAGCAACGCCGCGUGCGGGAUGACGGCCUUCGGGUUGUAAACCGCUUUCGCCUGUGACGAAGCGUGAGGGACGGGAAUGGGUAAAGAAGCACCGGCUAACUACGUG
This 468-nucleotide ribosomal RNA is filed under the name uncultured bacterium. RNAcentral's name for it is "partial 16S ribosomal RNA". It matches the Rfam family "Bacterial small subunit ribosomal RNA", at positions 28 to 507 of the family's 1533-position model. The record is from RNAcentral.